This is a long non-coding RNA of Olea europaea var. sylvestris, 613 nucleotides long. RefSeq lists it as uncharacterized. The transcript is spliced from 3 exons. The record is from RefSeq and is a predicted model, not a curated record. Lineage: Eukaryota; Viridiplantae; Streptophyta; Magnoliopsida; Lamiales; Oleaceae.
UUAACAUCUCAAAUCGAUGCAUAGUCAUCCAUUAACUUUAAUAGUUAUGUAGCAUUCGUUUAAAAGUUGAAUGCAUAAUCUCUAAAAAAAACUUUUGUUUCUCAAGUUAACAUUUUUACCUAAAUCCCUCAUCUGUCAUUACAGUUGAUAGUGAAAGUUUUUUUCCUUAUUUAUACAAAACAGUGAAACUGACAAAUUGUUCCUUUCAUUUUGUCUCUGGCAGUGGAAUCACCCUUACAAAGUUAGUCAGAGUGAUUGUUCUUUGCUUUUCAAGGAGAAGUUUUUGUGGUUUACUAUUUUAAAAUGUACCUAUCUUUGGAGCUUCUUGGUUUCUUGCACGACCUAGUUUUAUUGCCGGUACCAUCGAGCAUGUUUGGUCCACCAUUGAGGCGCAUGCUCGUAGAGAAGCACGAGGAUCAGCCAUCAACACCAUCACAAUUCUAAUCCAAAGAGCUGCAUUUGUAGGAAAGAUAUUUUUAUUUUUCGUUUAUUUUCUCUUUUCCUUGUAUAGGGUAGUUCCACGUAACUGGAGAGUUCAUGUGUAGCGUCCAAAUGUAUACGAUUACAUUUGUUCUUUUGAGAAUUACAAAAAGAAAACAUAGGCCCCGUUUGU